This 301-nucleotide ribosomal RNA is filed under the name uncultured bacterium. RNAcentral's name for it is "partial 16S ribosomal RNA". It matches the Rfam family "Bacterial small subunit ribosomal RNA", at positions 509 to 809 of the family's 1533-position model. The record is from RNAcentral.
CAGUCGCCACGGGAAUACGAAUGGGGCUAGCGUUGCUCGGAAUGACUGGGCGUAAAGGGCGCGUAGGCGGUUUAUACAGUCAGAUGUGAAAUUCCUGGGCUCAACCUGGGGACUGCAUUUGAUACGUAUGGACUUGAGUGGAGAAGAGGGUCGUGGAAUUUCCAGUGUAGAGGUGAAAUUCGUAGAUAUUGGGAAGAACACCAGUGGCGAAGGCGGCUCACUGGACCGACACUGACGCUGAGGCGCGAAAGCGUGGGGAGCAAACAGGAUUAGAUACCCGCGUAGUCCCUGUCUCUUAUAU